AUAGAUACGCAGUUACUACCAUAGAGACACAACACUACAAACUGCACAGAUUGCAAAAUCAAAACCGACAAACUCACACUUGCGGUUUUCCCUCUCUCCAUUUCUUUGUCUGAUUAUUUUUGGAUUUUUAUAAUUAUGGCUUUUUAUCACACAAACGGGACAACAUAAAUUAACAAUCUAAUUUUUGUAUUAUCAAAUUACACUGCUAAAGAUUAUAUGUAUUACUAUGGCUUAUAAAAAAAUAUAUAUGUAUUACUAUGUAGUGACAUUAAUGGAACAAGCAAUCAAUGUAUAUGCAGCUGCACACUAAGUUUUUUGACAUCAAUGGAACAAGCAUCAACGUAUAUGCAGUUGCACACUAAGUUUUUGUUUGCUAAGCCUAGACUCAAAUUGGAAGUGACAAGGAUCACAGUAAAUCUUGCCAACAACAGAGAAUUCAUCAGCAUUAGGAGCCUUACGAGCAGCCAAGACACAUGAGAAACAAAAAGCAGAAACAAUGAGGG
This is a long non-coding RNA of Trifolium pratense (red clover), 503 nucleotides long. RefSeq lists it as uncharacterized. The record is from RefSeq and is a predicted model, not a curated record. NCBI's taxonomy places the organism in Eukaryota, Viridiplantae, Streptophyta, Magnoliopsida, Fabales, Fabaceae. The transcript is spliced from 3 exons.